UACGGAGGGUGCAAGCAUUAAUCGGAAUUAUUGGGCGUAAAGGGCGCGUAGGCGGGGAUAAAAGUCAGAUGUGAAAUCCCGGGGCUCAACCCCGGAACAGCAUUUGAAACUUUAUUUCUUGAGGGUAGGCGGAGAAAACGGAAUUCCACAAGUAGCGGUGAAAUGCGUAGAUAUGUGGAAGGACACCGGUGGCGAAGGCGGUUUUCUAGCUUACUCCUGACGCUGAGGCGCGAAAGCAAGGGGAUCAAACAGG
Molecule: ribosomal RNA, 253 nt
Filed under: uncultured bacterium
Lineage: Bacteria
Description: partial 16S ribosomal RNA
Rfam family: Bacterial small subunit ribosomal RNA
Source: RNAcentral